Heterocephalus glaber (naked mole-rat) is the source of this 1666-nucleotide non-coding RNA. The record is from RefSeq and is a predicted model, not a curated record. Lineage: Eukaryota; Metazoa; Chordata; Mammalia; Rodentia; Bathyergidae.
GACCGCUGGGACAGAUGAUGCAGAUUUUCAGUGCACUGGGGUUAAGAGGUUUAUGCGAGGUGGUUAUUCAGACCUAUUGAGGAGUCGGUCGUCAGUGUCGAUGGAAAUAGCGAAAAAUUAACAUGGAUGAAACAAAAAUUAAGCUGGGUUCUUGGAGUCUGCAGUGGAAAGGCACCACAUUCCUGGAAUAUCUCGAUUAAAACUUGAAGUGGCAAAAAAAUUAACUCGAAGUUGCAGGCAAGAUGGGCAGCUCAUCCAAAAUAGCCGGAGCCCCAUCCAUCUGCUUUGUUACUUAUGCUGUUACCACGUCAGAGAAUGCAGGUGUUCACAAGAGACAGCAGGGGCACAACAGGACACUGGAACGAACCCUCUAGAAGGCACAGACACACAUAACAGCUGCUGCUGAGGUGGACGGGCACAAAACCCCACCUGUUUCCUGGACCCUUCUGCCACAAGCAAAAGCCUUAAGUCAUUGAUGGAGGGUUAGCAAAUAUUCCCCCAGAACGCAGAUACUGCUUUUGUGGAAGAAGCAGAAGCCAAAUCCCUCAACCUCUGAGAGAAGGAUAGUAUACCCACUCAAUCCCAUGACAAAGCCAAAGACCCUUUAUUUCUUGGAGGUUGGAGGUGGCAAAAUACCUUCAUUUGGAGGACAGUAGAAAUUAUUUUUUGGUACUGAGGAUCGAACUCGGGACCUUGCAUUUGCAAGGCAGGUGGUGGAACCACUCAGCUAAAUCCCCGAGUCUCAGCAGAAAUAAUUUGAUGCUAUUAAUUACUACCACUACUGGGGAAGGAGCAGAAAAUCCUGCCGAAGACUAACCACUAAUACAUGAGGAAGAGAGCUGGGAAUACUAAGAAAGACUCACUUCUAAAGGAGGCUCAGGCACACAGGUGCACUGCCUAACACUGAGGCUAGGAUAGGACAACAAAGAUUGUGGGACAGUGGCAAGCAGAAUUACUGUUCUAAAAUUUCCAGGAGACUACAUUGCUGAGAGUACCCCCACCCCCCACCCCACUAGGCCAACAUCUGUGACUUGUACUGACUACAUACUGCAUGGGAGGAAGGACCCUGGGAAAACCUGAAGCCACACAAUGGAGGCAGUGACCUUUGAGGAUGUGUCUGUGAACUUCACCAUCCAUAGAGGAGUGGGUUUUGCUGAAUCCAUCCCAAAAGAAGCUCUACAGAGAUGUGAUGAGGGAAACUUUUAGGAACAUAGCUGCUGUAGAAGGAGCCUGGGAUAUCCAGGAAGGUGAAGAAGAGUACAAAAGUUACUGGAGAAAUCUAAGAAAUGAAGAGGUAGAGAAAUGCUAUCAAAAUAGAGGUUGGAAUCAAUAUGAAGAAAUAUUCCUUUGGACUCCAGACGCUAAUGUGGACAUGAAACAAGCUGGUUUAAACCCAGCUGAAAGCUUUGCUUGCAGAAAGCCCCUGAUUGGGCAUUUGUCACUAAAUGUGCCCAUUGUAGCUCACACUGGACUGAAGACAUAUGAGUACUUGGGAUCAGAAGAGCAUCUGUGUAAAAGUAAUGAACAUGGAAGAACCUGUGGUGAUUUCCAGUCCUUUCAGAAGCAUGCAAGGACAAAGACUGGAGAGAAACCCUAUGAAUAUCCUCAAUGUGGGAAAUCCUACUCUGAUCUUAGUGAAAGACCUCACCUUAUAUAUAAGAAAAAU